UACGAAGGGGGCUAGCGUUGUUCGGAAUUACUGGGCGUAAAGCGCACGUAGGCGGAUUUGUAAGUCAGGGGUGAAAUCCCGGGGCUCAACCUCGGAACUGCCUUUGAUACUGCAAGUCUUGAGUCCGAUAGAGGUGAGUGGAAUUCCUAGUGUAGAGGUGAAAUUCGUAGAUAUUAGGAAGAACACCAGUGGCGAAGGCGGCUCACUGGAUCGGUACUGACGCUGAGGCAUGAAAGCGUGGGGAGCAAACAGG
RNAcentral lists this ribosomal RNA (253 nucleotides) under uncultured bacterium. Its description in RNAcentral is "partial 16S ribosomal RNA". It matches the Rfam family "Bacterial small subunit ribosomal RNA", at positions 524 to 776 of the family's 1533-position model. The record is from RNAcentral.